Molecule: ribosomal RNA, 253 nt
Filed under: uncultured bacterium
Lineage: Bacteria
Description: partial 16S ribosomal RNA
Rfam family: Bacterial small subunit ribosomal RNA
Source: RNAcentral
UACGUAGGUGGCAAGCGUUGUCCGGAUUCAUUGGGCGUAAAGCGUGCGCAGGCGGUUUUGUAAGCCAGAUGUGAAAUCCCCGGGCUUAACCUGGGAAUGGCAUUUGGGACUGCAAGGCUUGAGUGCGGCAGAGGAGACUGGAAUUCCUGGUGUAGCAGUGAAAUGCGUAGAUAUCAGGAGGAAUACCGAUGGCGAAGGCAGGUCUCUGGGCUGACACUGACGCUCAUGCACGAAAGCGUGGGGAGCAAACAGG